Carassius auratus (goldfish) is the source of this 1196-nucleotide RNA transcript. RefSeq lists it as uncharacterized. The transcript has 5 exons. Lineage: Eukaryota; Metazoa; Chordata; Actinopteri; Cypriniformes; Cyprinidae. The record is from RefSeq and is a predicted model, not a curated record.
ACAUGAAAAACAGUGAUAGAUGGACUUCUCAACCUUGGCUUCAGGAUAAAAUCCAACGCAAGUUUGAGGUGACCGAGUGAAACAUGAUUAUCUAUUUCUGCUCAGCUAGCAACACUGGACAUCAAACACACGAAGCCCACAACUAACAGGAAACUCAAACUCAUUAAAUGGCUACAAAGCAAAAAGUUACUAGCAAGGAGAGUAAAGUGCUCAAGAUGUGGCCAUAAUAUGAGAAUGAAGAGAGCUACAUCUCGAAAUCUCGACGGUUUUCAUUGGAUGUGCAGACAUAAAAGUCAUCGAGGCAAGAAAACCAGCCGAUCAGUGCGAGUCGGGUCUCUCUUCGAGAGAUCAAAACUCAGCUUGUCAUCUUGGCUAAUAUUCAUUUACAGGUUUGCUCAGGGAUUGCGGAUUAGACAAAUUGAUAUGAUGCAAGAUGGCAUUGCAAAAAGUUCCAGAACCCUCUCUAAGAUGGCUCGUAUCAUGAGGAAAGUUUGCCACUGUGCUAUAAAACGAUACAGACGAAGACAUGGACAAAUGAUUGGAAGUGCUCGAGAAUUUGCUGUUCUUGAUGAAAGUAACUUCCGUCAUAAACGAAAGUAUGGACGAGGGAGAGCAUCAACAACAUGGAGGCGAAAAAAAUGGGUCUUUGGCAUGCUAGGUGUGAGGGAUAAAUGCAGACACCCAAUCUUGCGGCUUGUGAAAAGAAGAUCAAGACCUCACCUAAUCCCCAUAGUUGUAAAACAUGUGCGUCCAGGCACUACCAUUAUUUCAGAUGAGUGGAGAGCCUACCGGGGGGCUUUGGCCAAUAUGGGCUACAAACAUUUUACAGUGAACCAUUCCCAGUGGUUUGUAGACCCACACAGUGGAGCUCAUUCACAACACCUUGAAAGAGCUUGGUUGACAUACAAAACAAGUGUAUGGAGACUAAGGGGGAACAGGACAGAGAAAAUGCUAAAAGAGCACCUCUCUCUCAUAGAGUGGACUCAUUGGCUUGGUGAAAAAAAUAAACGGGGGCCACUUGGGCGCCUAAUAAAAGAUAUUCACCAUCAAUUUCCUGUUUAGAGGACAACACACUGAACUUUUGAUUGUGUUUUAUGUAAUAUUUAAGUAAAAUACAAGUUAACUUGUCCUCUUGAUUUAAGGUGCACUGAUAUUUAAAAGCUUUGUUUAAUAAAAUGUGUAUUUUACCUUUUUAA